RNAcentral lists this ribosomal RNA (253 nucleotides) under uncultured bacterium. RNAcentral describes it as "partial 16S ribosomal RNA". It matches the Rfam family "Bacterial small subunit ribosomal RNA", at positions 524 to 776 of the family's 1533-position model. The record is from RNAcentral.
GACGGAGGAUGCAAGUGUUAUCCGGAAUCACUGGGCGUAAAGCGUCUGUAGGUGGUUUAAAAAGUCCACUGUUAAAAAUUGAAGCUUAACUUCAAAGAUGCCGUGGAAACUUUUAAACUUGAGUAUGGUAGGGGUAGAGGGAAUUUCCAGUGGAGCGGUGAAAUGCGUAGAUAUUGGAAAGACCACCAAUGGCGAAGGCACUCUACUGGGCCAUUACUGACACUGAGAGACGAAAGCGUGGGGAGCGAACAGG